RNAcentral lists this ribosomal RNA (965 nucleotides) under uncultured marine bacterium. Its description in RNAcentral is "bacterial SSU rRNA". It matches the Rfam family "Bacterial small subunit ribosomal RNA", at positions 56 to 1066 of the family's 1533-position model. The record is from RNAcentral.
UGCAAGUCGAACGAACCUUCGGGUUAGUGGCGGACGGGUGAGUAACGCGUGAGAAUCUGCCCUCAGGAGGGGGAUAACAGCUGGAAACGGCUGCUAAUACCCCAUACGCCGCGAGGUGAAAUGAAUUUCGCCUGAGGAUGAGCUCGCGUCUGAUUAGCUAGUUGGUGUGGGUAAUGGCUCACCAAGGCAUCGAUCAGUAGCUGGUCUGAGAGGAUGAUCAGCCACACUGGGACUGAGACACGGCCCAGACUCCUACGGGAGGCAGCAGUGGGGAAUUUUCCGCAAUGGGCGAAAGCCUGACGGAGCAACGCCGCGUGAGGGAUGAAGGCCUCUGGGCUGUAAACCUCUUUUAUCAAGGAAGAAGAUCUGACGGUACUUGAUGAAUAAGCCACGGCUAAUUCCGUGCCAGCAGCCGCGGUAAUACGGGAGUGGCAAGCGUUAUCCGGAAUUAUUGGGCGUAAAGCGUCCGCAGGCGGCCCUCCAAGUCUGCUGUUAAAAAGUGGAGCUUAACUCCAUCAUGGCAGUGGAAACUGAGGGGCUUGAGUGUGGUAGGGGCAGAGGGAAUUCCCGGUGUAGUGGUGAAAUGCGUAGAUAUCGGGAAGAACACCAGUGGCGAAGGCGCUCUGCUGGGCCAUCACUGACGCUCAUGGACGAAAGCCAGGGGAGCGAAAGGGAUUAGAUACCCCUGUAGUCCUGGCCGUAAACGAUGAACACUAGGUGUCGGGGGAAUCGACCCCCUCGGUGUCGUAGCCAACGCGUUAAGUGUUCCGCCUGGGGAGUACGCACGCAAGUGUGAAACUCAAAGGAAUUGACGGGGGCCCGCACAAGCGGUGGAGUAUGUGGCUUAAUUCGAUGCAACGCGAAGAACCUUACCAGGGUUUGACAUCCUGCGAAUCUCUUGGAAACGAGAGAGUGCCUUCGGGAGCGCAGUGACUGGUGGUGCAUGGCUGUCGUCAGCUCGUGUC